Molecule: ribosomal RNA, 301 nt
Filed under: uncultured bacterium
Lineage: Bacteria
Description: partial 16S ribosomal RNA
Rfam family: Bacterial small subunit ribosomal RNA
Source: RNAcentral
CAGCAGCCACGGUAAUACGGAGGGUGCAAGCGUUAACCGGAAUUACUGGGCGUAAAGCGUGCGUAGGCGGUUCGUUAAGUCUGUUGUGAAAGCCCCGGGCUCAACCUGGGAAUGGCAAUGGAUACUGGCGAGCUAGAGUGUGUCAGAGGAUGGUGGAAUUCCCGGUGUAGCGGUGAAAUGCGUAGAGAUCGGGAGGAACAUCAGUGGCGAAGGCGGCCAUCUGGGACAACACUGACGCUGAGGCACGAAAGCGUGGGGAGCAAACAGGAUUAGAUACCCCUGUAGUCCCUGUCUCUUAUAC